This is a long non-coding RNA of Camponotus floridanus (Florida carpenter ant), 502 nucleotides long. RefSeq lists it as uncharacterized. NCBI's taxonomy places the organism in Eukaryota, Metazoa, Arthropoda, Insecta, Hymenoptera, Formicidae. The record is from RefSeq and is a predicted model, not a curated record. The transcript is spliced from 3 exons.
UGGCGCCGAUAAACAGAUGCUGGUUGAGGGAGUCUCCGGAGCUGGUGCGUUGUGACCCGUUGAAGACAACGCGGAGCUUAGUACUGGAGCUGGACUGGCGGAGGAUUCCAUGGUCCUCAUAUUCCUGCAUGAAUUCUCGAUACCGAACUCCGAAUUCAGGAUCUUUCUUGCACCGACGAUCCAUAGCGUUCAAGAGGCUUCCGGCUGGUUUUCGCGUCUCAUCCAGUGACGUUGGCAAGGAAGAAAAUGGGAGACGUACGACGUAUCUUCCUGAGGCUGUCCGCUGUGCACUGCAGGGAGCUGCGGAGACCUUGGAAGGACGCCGAGCGGGACCCUCCUGACAGAAUCCAUCCCAAGGCAGUUUUUUGGGCGAGGGGUUCUUGGGGACCACCCUUGCGAAGGCCGACUUCCAGGAUGAUCGAGUAAACUUCGGCGCCCAACAAUAACUCGACCGGGUCGCGCUCCUGAUACCUGGGGUCGGCGAGUUCAAGACCACGGGCAU